UACAGAGGGUGCAAACGUUGCUCGGAAUUAUUGGGCGUAAAGCGCACGUAGGCGGUUUGUUAAGUUGGAUGUGAAAACCCUGGGCUCAACCCUGGAAGUGCAUCCAAGACUGACAAGCUAGAGUAUCGGAGGGGGUCGGAGAAUUCCCGGUGUAGAGGUGAAAUUCGUAGAUAUCGGGAGGAACAUCUGUGGCGAAGGCGCCGACCUGGACGAAAACUGACGCUGAGGUGCGAAAGCAUGGGGAGCAAACAGGAUUAGAUACCCUGGUAGUCCAUGCCGUAAACGAUGAGUGCUGGACGGUGGGAGAUUAUGACCCUCUCGUCGUCGAAGCUAACGCGUUAAGCACUCCGCCUGGGAAGUACGGUCGCAAGACUAAA
RNAcentral lists this ribosomal RNA (377 nucleotides) under uncultured bacterium. RNAcentral's name for it is "bacterial SSU rRNA". It matches the Rfam family "Bacterial small subunit ribosomal RNA", at positions 524 to 898 of the family's 1533-position model. The record is from RNAcentral.